This 254-nucleotide ribosomal RNA is filed under the name uncultured bacterium. Its description in RNAcentral is "partial 16S ribosomal RNA". It matches the Rfam family "Bacterial small subunit ribosomal RNA", at positions 524 to 776 of the family's 1533-position model. The record is from RNAcentral.
GACGGAGGGUGCUAGCGUUGUUCGGAAUCACUGGGCGUAAAGGGCGCGUAGGCGGCUCCUGCAGUCGGCUUGUGAAAGCCCGGGGCUCAACCCCGGAACGGCGGCCGAUACUCAGGGGCUGGAGGCCGGAAGAGGAGGGUGGAAUACCCAGUGUAGAGGUGAAAUUCGUAGAUAUUGGGUGGAACACCGGUGGCGAAAGCGGCUCUCUGGUCCGGUCCUGACGCUGAGGCGCGAAAGCGUGGGGAGCAAACAGG